CCUCUCUCAGGGUCGCACCUGGAGAGUUUCCAGUACUCUACCAGCCUCGACUACGGGAGGGAGAGUCAAGCAGAGGCCUGUCCAUUCCAUUCCUAGUUUGGGCAGUGGCUAGUGAGUGGCAGGGAAACUGCUACAAGU
Molecule: small nucleolar RNA, 138 nt
Filed under: Ornithorhynchus anatinus (platypus)
Lineage: Eukaryota; Metazoa; Chordata; Mammalia; Monotremata; Ornithorhynchidae
Source: RNAcentral